Molecule: ribosomal RNA, 253 nt
Filed under: uncultured bacterium
Lineage: Bacteria
Description: partial 16S ribosomal RNA
Rfam family: Bacterial small subunit ribosomal RNA
Source: RNAcentral
GACGAACCGUGCGAACGUUGUUCGGAAUCACUGGGCUUAAAGGGCGCGUAGGCGGGCUUGCAAGUCUGCGGUGAAAGCCUCCAGCUCAACUGGAGAAGUGCCGUGGAUACUGUGGGUCUCGAGGAGGGUAGGGGCAUCUGGAACGUUGGGUGGAGCGGUGAAAUGCGUUGAUAUCCAACGGAACUCCGGUGGCGAAGGCGAGGUGCUGGACCCUUUCUGACGCUGAUGCGCGAAAGCCAGGGGAGCGAACGGG